Molecule: non-coding RNA, 36 nt
Filed under: Perkinsus marinus
Lineage: Eukaryota; Perkinsozoa; Perkinsida; Perkinsidae
Source: RNAcentral
UUUUUUUUUUUUUUUUUUUUUUUUUUUCCCAUGAUU